UGUUGCUUAUUCAGGAAUGUCUCAGGAAGAUAGGUUUCAGCCUCUCGGCAGGUAGCAGAAGAGCAGGGCAGUUGUCAUUUCAAAAGGAGUCAGCCAAGUCGGAAAGCUGCACUGCAGGUGGCCCCACUCAGUGGCAACAAGGUCUGUACCAGCCUGCUUCAGGCUGGGGGAGGCUAUAACCUCUUUUUCCUUCGUUGUUUGCAGAUUUGUGGAAUUGGCUUUCACAUCUUCCAACUUUAAUCCAGGGUUGAAAGCCUCAGGCUUUAUUACCUUGAAGAUGUAAUUCUGGUGUUAGCUUGGUUUCCUGUCCUGUAACUCAGAGGGUACCUGGACCUGCAAAGGUUUCCCAUCAAGUGCCUUAGAGAAAAUCCAUUUAAAAGAUUCUACAUCUUGCCCGAGUGGCUGAUGACUACACAAGCAUCAUGGGUUUCUCUUUUUGAAUCAUGUCCCUUGAAAUCCCUUCAGAAGACUUUACACCCUGAAAGUGUGGUUCAGAAUGGACCUCUGGAGAUCUUCCAUAUUGAUGCUGAUAGAACC
Molecule: long non-coding RNA, 537 nt
Filed under: Mus musculus (house mouse)
Lineage: Eukaryota; Metazoa; Chordata; Mammalia; Rodentia; Muridae
Description: long non-coding RNA chr12:18240263-18240800
Source: RNAcentral